Molecule: long non-coding RNA, 1650 nt
Filed under: Linum usitatissimum (flax)
Lineage: Eukaryota; Viridiplantae; Streptophyta; Magnoliopsida; Malpighiales; Linaceae
Description: long non-coding RNA (LUSI_LNC005551)
Source: RNAcentral
CUUGAUAUGUUCCAUCUGCUUCGCAUGGCUCUGCAGUUCCGAACAGCCUUUGUAGCGCCAUCUUCUCGUGUUUUUGGAAGAGGUGAACUUGUCAUAGAUCCUGCACAGAUAGCUGCCAGAUACCUGCAGCGGUAUUUCAUUGUUGAUUUCCUCUCCAUUUUGCCACUUCCCCAGGUAAAUAAUGAAACAAACUGUAGCACGUCCCUAUUUGCACAUUAUUUAUUAGCCUUUCAUUAUUCAGAUCAUAUUGGUAACGAAGAAGAAACAGUUAUCAUCUCUCUUUUAUAUUUUAUGCAGAUUGUGGUAUGGAAAUAUCUCCACAACAAGAAGAAGGGUUCAGAAGUGUUGGCAACAAAACAGGCACUGUUGUACAUAGUGUUCCUUCAAUACAUACCUAGGUUUACUCGCUUCUUCCCUCUUAUAUCAGACCUCAAAAAGACGGCAGGUGUCUUUGCGGAUAGUGCCUGGGCUGGUGCAGCCUACUACCUCCUCUGGUACCUGCUAGCUAGCCACGUAAGUAUCAUAGUUACUUAUACCAGACCUCAUAAAAAGUUCAUUUGCUCGGUGAAGAAGAAAAAUUUAUGCAGUUUAUCUAUUAAUAACCUUGGUUGGAGAAACAGAUAGCUGGGGCGUUUUGGUACUUGCUUGCCGUGGAGAGAAAAGACACGUGUUGGAGGAAAGCAUGCCUGGAGAGCGGGAAAUGCAACAUAGACUACCUCUAUUGUGGGAACAAGGUGCUUCCAGGUUUCCAUAAAUGGAGAAGGGUCAGCAAUAACGUUCUUGGUCGUUCCUGCGGUGUUGUUGAUGAUAACUCCAAGUUCAACUAUGGCAUAUACAUGCAGGCUAUGUCCUCAGACAUUGUUGGUUCCAGGGUCUUCGUCUCCAAGUUCUUCUACUGCUUGUGGUGGGGCCUGCAGAACUUGAGGUACCAUAUUUACAAUUCCCUUUUAGAAUGAUCAACAAAAUAUACUACCACCUGAAAAGGAAAACAAAUAGGAAAAGAAGUUUUGAUGAUAGUCAACUCACAGUUAAUAUCUCAUUUUCUGUUUCAUGAAGCACACUUGGUCAGGGUCUCCAAACCAGUACCUACCCUUUGGAGGUUAUCUUUUCCAUUUCACUAGCCAUUUCCGGUCUCAUUCUCUUUGCUCUUCUCAUUGGAAACAUGCAGGUGAUCAAACAUUACUGUCCUUAUGUACAUUCAGAUUAAUCAGAAGUUGUAUGUGGUAUUGGAAAUAACAAGAUGUAAUAAAAAGGUGUUUCUUGUUUUCUCAUUGGGUUGCUGCAGACUUACCUCCAGUCUCUGACUGUUCGUCUAGAGGAGAUGAGGAUCAAAAGGCGCGAUUCGGAGCAAUGGAUGCAUCACCGGCUGCUGCCUCAGGAUCUCAGAGAGCGGGUAAGACGCUAUGAUCAGUACAAAUGGCUUGAAACUCGGGGAGUUGAUGAAGAAACUCUGGUCCAAAGUCUGCCAAAAGAUCUUAGGAGAGACAUCAAACGCCAUCUUUGUCUUAACUUAGUCAGAAGGGUAAGGAAUGAAACAAUUUUCACCUGUGUUCUCUUCGGAUAAUGCUUUUUAACAGUUACUCCAGUUUAACCAAAACUUGUCUACUUUGCAGGUCCCUCUGUUUGCCAAUAUGGACGAGAGGCUCCUUG